AAAACUUUCAACAACGGAUCUCUUGGUUCUCGCAUCGAUGAAGAACGCAGCGAAAUGCGAUAAGUAAUGUGAAUUGCAGAAUUCAGUGAAUCAUCGAAUCUUUGAACGCAUAUUGCGCCUUUUGGUAUUCCACAAGGCAUGCCUGUUUGAGCGUCAUUUCUCUCUAAAACCUUUGGGUUUAGUAUUGAGCUUGUAUGCUUGUAAAAUAGCAUUGGCUCGAAAUGGAUUGGCAGAGCGCCCUCUGGAGCUUUCAACGGACUAGGUCUAACCGUCGUUGGUGCAAUAGAGGGACAAGGCUAGGCCUAAUAACCCCACCCCAUCUUUUGAAGUUUGACCUCAAAUCAGGUAAGACUACCCGCUGAACUUAAGCAUAUCAAUAAGCGGAGGAAAAGAAACCAACAGGGAUUGCCUUAGUAACGGCGAGUGAAGCGGCAAGAGCUCAAAUUUGAAAUCUGGCGUCUUUGGGCGUCCGAAUUGUAAUUUGUAGAGGUAUCUUUGGAAACGGCCCUGGCAUAUGUUCCUUGGAACAGGACGUCAUAGAGGGUGAGAACCCCGUAUGUGGUUGGGUGUCCGUUUCUUUGUAAAGUGCCUUCGACGAGUCGAGUUGUUUGGGAAUGCAGCUCUAAGUGGGUGGUAAAUUCCAUCUAAAGCUAAAUAUUGGCGAGAGACCGAUAGCGAACAAGUACAGUGAUGGAAAGAUGAAAAGAACUUUGAAAAGAGAGUGAAAAAGUACGUGAAAUUGUUGAAAGGGAAGCGUUUAAAACCAGACACGGUUAAAAGAUGAUCAUCGUCCCUCGUGGGCUGUGCUAUCGCUUUUUUCUGGCCAGCAUCAGUUUGAGUGGUGGGAUAAGAGCAUUGGAAUGUAGCUCUUCGGAGUGUUAUAGCCUUUGUUGAUACCGCUACUUGGACUGAGGUUCUUCACUGAACGCUGGCGUAAUGGUUUUAAGCGGCCCGUCUUGAAACACGGACCAAGGAGUCUAACGUCUAUGCGAGUGUUUGGGUGUAAAACCCGUACGCGUAAUGAAAGUGAACGUAGGUGAGAGCCCUCACGGGUGCAUCAUCGACCGAUCCUGAUGUUCUCGGAUGGAUUUGAGUAAGAGCAUAGCUGUUGGGACCCGAAAGAUGGUGAACUAUGCCUGAAUAGGGUGAAGCCAGAGGAAACUCUGGUGGAGGCUCGUAGCGGUUCUGACGUGCAAAUCGAUCGUCAAAUUUGGGUAUAGGGGCGAAAGACUAAUCGAACCAUCUAGUAGCUGGUUCCUGCCGAAGUUUCCCUCAGGAUAGCAGAAGCUCGUGUCAGUUUUAUGAGGUAAAGCGAAUGAUUAGAGGUGUUGGCUGUAAUAGCCUUUUUACCUAUUCUCAAACUUUAAAUAUGUAAGAAGUCCUUGUUACUUAAUUGAACGUGGACCUUCGAAUGAAGAGCUUUUAGUGGGCCAUUUUUGGUAAGCAGAACUGGCGAUGCGGGAUGAACCGAACGUGAGGUUAAGGUGCCGGAAUACACGCUCAUCAGACACCACAAAAGGUGUUAGUUCAUCUAGACAGCCGGACGGUGGCCAUAAAAGUCGGAAACCGCUAAGGAGUGUGUAACAACUCACCGGUCGAAUGAACUAGCCCUGAAAAUGGAUGGCGCUCAAGCGUGUUACCUAUACCUCACCGUCAGGGUUAAUGUGAUGCCCUGACGAGUAGGCAGGCGUGGAGGUCAGUGACGAAGCCUUUGCAGUGAUGCUGGGUAGAACGGCCUCUAGUGCAGAUCUUGGUGGUAGUAGCAAAUAUUCAAAUGAGAACUUUGAAGACUGAAGUGGGGAAAGGUUCCAUGUGAACAGCAGUUGGACAUGGGUUAGUCGAUCCUAAGAGAUGGGGAAGCUCCGUUUCAAAGUGCCCGAUUUUUCGGGCCUCCAUCGAAAGGGAAUCCGGUUAAUAUUCCGGAACCUGGAUGUGGACUCUCCACGGCAACGUAACUGAACGCGGAGACAUCGGCAUGAGUCCCGGGGGGAAUUCUCUUUUCUUCUUAACAGCUUAUCACCCUGAAAUCGGUUUGUCCGGCGCUAGGGUCUUAUGGCUGGAAGAGCCAGGCGCCUCUGCCUGGUCCGGUGCGCUUAUGACGGUCCUUGAAAAUCCGCGGGAAGGAAUAGUUUUCACGCCAGGUCGUACUCAUAACCGCAGCAGGUCUCCAAGGUUAACAGCCUCUAGUUGAUAGAAUAAUGUAGAUAAGGGAAGUCGGCAAAAUAGAUCCGUAACUUCGGGAUAAGGAUUGGCUCUAAGGAUCGGGUGUCUUGGCCCGUAGUUGGAACCUGACGGACUAGGCAGUUCGCUGCCCGGACUGUCAGGGGAAGACUUCGGGAGGCUUCGGCCGUCCGGGGCACGCUUAACGAUCAACUUAGAACUGGUACGGACAAGGGGAAUCUGACUGUCUAAUUAAAACAUAGCAUUGCGAUGGUCAGAAAGUGAUGUUGACGCAAUGUGAUUUCUGCCCAGUGCUCAACUUUGUCCAAUUCAGGGCACAGGACGCCAGUAAUGGAGUCCUAGUCAGCUUUAGCUGGCGACAUCCUCAAAUUGCGGGGACUUCCUUAGAGCUCCAGGUACCGCGGCGGUGCGAAAGCAGCGUGCAGCAGGUGGUGUAACGGCCACUGGAUGGUAACAAGCCUUGGAGAUUGGAUAAUCCGCAGCCAAGUCCUAAGCUCGUAAGAGUAUGGAUGCAGUUCACAGACUAGACGGGGGUGGGUGAUGCGAGUUUGACUAGUAACGAAAAAAUGACAGCUACUGUGGGCAGCUAAGUUACUUUUCAGCAACGGCUUGCAUUUGCUUAAGAUAUAGUCGAAUCAGUCUUCGAAAGGGGACUGCUAGCCUCGCCAAUUGGCGGCGCCCGCAAUAUACAGGGAGGGUCAUGAGGGCAUCUUUCGUAAGCGCCAAAAACAUGGCACAUCUUGCGGCUGAAGUUCUUAUCGAUCAACUCCCAUCUCAGAUGCGAUAGUCGCAAACACGACUUAUUACCACACAAAUGUGAAGCCUGGUAAAACUGCCUAGCCUUUUCAGGAGGGUAGAUGCCGGCAUGAAGCAAGAUGAUAUGGGUAGCCUGUAUUGUUCUUUUGCGUUCAUCAAAUUCACUCAAAGGUAACUUAAGUUUAGUGUGGAUUUUGCGGCUGUGCGUAACUUGCGCAUAUCCAUCUGAGAAGGAGUAACCAAGUGUACUGUAAGGACCUCUUCGGCUCUUACAGGUGCUAUGGUAUCUAGUAUAUUGCGUCGGUCGCGAGAUUUCACACAGAAAAUCACAGGCUAAACUCUCAUCUUCACCGUGGUAUUCUCGACGCAUAUAUCUAUUCAAAACUUCAUAGUGAUAUUGUAUGAUUGAUUUAUGUAGUUUAAAGAUAUUUUGAUUUAGGAGAUUGGUGCCUUGAAAGGUUUUCG
This 3402-nucleotide ribosomal RNA is filed under the name Trigonopsis variabilis. RNAcentral describes it as "eukaryotic LSU rRNA". The stretch from base 332 to 2578 matches the Rfam family "Eukaryotic large subunit ribosomal RNA". The record is from RNAcentral. Lineage: Eukaryota; Fungi; Ascomycota; Trigonopsidomycetes; Trigonopsidales; Trigonopsidaceae.